UCUUCCCUUGUCCUCCCCCUCCUAACCCUACAAGUGUGAAAAGCUGCAGAAUUUGUACGUGACAGUACGUCACAGUACCUGCACGCACACAAACAAACAUAUGGAUUCCACCAGCCUCCUGCAAGCCAGUCUCAUCGCCCAUCGACUUGGAAAAAAUCGUGAGGCCCGCGUGGAGAAAUACACCCCUUGUGACAAACACGGCUGACCACUUGUCAAAAUCCCGUCGUAUGUGCUAGUAAUGUUGUAAUUACCACCAUACCGUGCCCUUUAUGCGCACCCGCUAGGAGCCGCUAUUCUUAAGAUUAUCCGAAAGUUGUUUUUAAGUUCAGUUGCAAAAGCAAUUUUUACAGUAUCACUACAUUGUCAUUAACUAAAAAUUUCAGAGCACACAAAAGGACAAGGAGCACAGUGGAGAGGGGGAUUGGCCAGUGGAAGCGGAGAUUUCAUGUGCUCCAUGGUGAAAUCAGAGUCAGCCCUCCUGCAUAUGUGUGUAGAAUAAUACAGGUGUGUGCUAUUUUGCACAACAUCUGCAAAGACAGACGCCUCCCUGUACCCGAGGAAGGAGAGGACGAGGGUGAUGGUGCAGUUUUCCAUGAGGACCCACCUGUCCCACUACCACCUGUACCUGGACGAGUUCGGGAAGGUCUGCUCUACAGGGAUGAGUUUGUCAACCUUCACUUCAUUGACAGACCUCAACCUCAGCCUCGUGCAGCUGUGUGAUGCUUCCCGACCCAUCAACAGGUUAAUUCCACACCUACUUCCAACUCUGCAGCCUGCAGUUCAAGUUCCCUCUUCAGGCGGAUGAACUGCAGCUCCUCCUCAUCCACCAACAUGGUGCAGGUCCCAACUGGUGUACUGGAGGAAGCUGCAGCGGCAGGAACUACUGGUGGUGGUGUGGUGGUGGUUUGAGGUGUGUCUGUGCUGGGUUGGGGAGGGACAGGUGGUGUGACAUCCACCUGAAGACUCCUGGCAAAAAUACAUCCAUCAGUACCUGCACUCAUAAUUUUCUUGUGUUAUUUGACUUACAUCCCCAUUUAUGGAAACAAUACAGUUUAGGUUGAAAAGCCUUUGCAGGAAAGGAGUGUGUGUU
Long non-coding RNA from Eriocheir sinensis (Chinese mitten crab), 1090 nucleotides. RefSeq lists it as uncharacterized. The transcript has 4 exons. Lineage: Eukaryota; Metazoa; Arthropoda; Malacostraca; Decapoda; Varunidae. The record is from RefSeq and is a predicted model, not a curated record.